ACGUAGGGUGCAAGCGUUAAUCGGAAUUACUGGGCGUAAAGCGUGCGCAGGCGGUUAUGCAAGACAGAUGUGAAAUCCCCGGGCUCAACCUGGGAACUGCAUUUGUGACUGCAUAGCUAGAGUGUGGCAGAGGGGGAUGGAAUUCCGCGUGUAGCAGUGAAAUGCGUAGAUAUGCGGAGGAACACCGAUGGCGAAGGCAAUCCCCUGGGCCUGCACUGACGCUCAUGCACGAAAGCGUGGGGAGCAAACAGGAUUAGAUACCCUGGUAGUCCACGCCCUAAACGAUGUCAACUAGGUGUU
Molecule: ribosomal RNA, 300 nt
Filed under: uncultured bacterium
Lineage: Bacteria
Description: bacterial SSU rRNA
Rfam family: Bacterial small subunit ribosomal RNA
Source: RNAcentral